AUUUUGUAUAUAUGUCUGAUGCAUCGGCGAUUGUAUGUAAAUCAAUCAGUUUUAGUGAAUUAGGAAACAAGUGUGGUGUUGCAAAAAUGGGAUUUCUUCAAAGUUUAAUUGUUGUUUUGGUUGGACUCGUGUUUUUAGCUCAGAACAUACAAGGCCAUUUUUGGGGCGGGCCUGGUUGGUAUAGACCCAGGUUCGGGUACGGUUUCGGCCCUAGAUUUGGGCCUGGCUUCGGACCUUACUAUGGACCUGUGUACGGGCCACCGCUACCACCACCACCACCACUGUUCUUUGGUUGAAGAUGGACUGGAUAGAAUAUAAUAAGGAUUUUUUUUUUUAAUGUUAUGUGAAUAAAGGACUGUUGAAAUAUUAA
This is a long non-coding RNA of Spodoptera frugiperda (fall armyworm), 370 nucleotides long. RefSeq lists it as uncharacterized. NCBI's taxonomy places the organism in Eukaryota, Metazoa, Arthropoda, Insecta, Lepidoptera, Noctuidae. The transcript is spliced from 2 exons. The record is from RefSeq and is a predicted model, not a curated record.